This is a long non-coding RNA of Pseudomyrmex gracilis, 501 nucleotides long. RefSeq lists it as uncharacterized. The transcript is spliced from 4 exons. Lineage: Eukaryota; Metazoa; Arthropoda; Insecta; Hymenoptera; Formicidae. The record is from RefSeq and is a predicted model, not a curated record.
GUCGCCUCGGUAGGCGACAGCAACGCACCUGUCACAACUUUACCACCGGACAACAACAAUAAGGUGCUGUAAAACGCGGAUGCUGAUGCGCGAGUGGAGGGAACGCUACCUAACCCCGAGGUGCCUGCCGGAUACGCCUCUGCGCACGAGUGUCACCAGCCGCAAUCUUUUUGUUAAUAAUGAGGGUUAUGCGGCCUGGUGACUGUCAGCAGGGCGUGUGUACGAGCAAAUACAGAGUGGCAGGCGAGUGGACGGAGUACUGCACAAGACAGGAGUUCUACACGACACCUAACCUGACCUGUCAAGGUGCUGCAGAUGUAAAUUGCUGCAAGUGAUGUUAUUAAAUAAAAAUGACAGGAGGUGGGUGGCUGAAGCAAAAAUAAAAACGUGUAAAAUAUAUAAAAAGUUUACUCUCCGACCGUAUAACCGCUCUGCACACGGGUAAGAAGAAAUAAAAGUGUGCAGAGCAAUGUAUUAACAAAGUAAAAUAAAAUUUGUCAA